UUUUGGUUCCUUAAUAUGGUCUUUGAAGCUUUAUUUUAAUUUAAGGAGGAGGAGAAACAAAAAUGGAGAAAUCAGGUUAGUAAUAGCAGCAACCAACCUAGUAAGAGUACCAGGAACUAUGCAAAGCUGCAGAAAUAUUACGUCAUUAAAUCUUCUCAACAACUCUAUGAGUUGUCCCCCUUCAUAGAUGGAGAAUUUAAGGUGUAAAAUUGUUAAGUAGCCAGCCUGAAGUCCCACAGCUUAUAAUGGCAGAGCAGACAUUGGAAUCCCCAUAAACCGCCUUCAGAAUCCAUACAGUACGCCACCUAAAACGGACCUAGGACCAAACUUGGAAUCCAUAGAGUUGAAGAUCAGUGGGUAGGUUUAAUAAAAGCACCCCACAGCAAUCUUGUGUCCUCAGUUAUAUGGGGCAGCUGUAACCCAAAAUACUCGGACCAGCUGUCCGCACAAGGGCACUUGAGAUCAUCAGACCAACUGCUCUCUUAUCGAAACGUUCCUGGCUCAUAUUUCACUGCAGAGUGUUGGUGCAUACGUGGUAUUAAAUGUACCGACUCUGUUUGUUCAUUGAUUAGUUUGAAACCUUACCUGUGGUUCAUUCUCUAAACGGAGAAUAGGCCCAGGUUUCAUUGGGAAAUCUUCAACUUCUCCAAAUACUAGGCGAUCACACAGAGAUUUUAAAUGCAUGCAUUUAUAAUCAAGAACCUUCACCUGCCUAGCGUCCUCCUACAGAACUAGAGAAGAUGCUAGAAACAAAGGCAUUUCUUACUUUAGUGAGCAUAGAGCAGAGGUUUUCUUUGGUCCCUUUAAAUGGUUGUGAUUAAAACAACAACCCAAAUGGGUUUACAUUACUUAUUUUCAAAAACACUUCUUUACAUUAAGGAUGAUGUGGAGAAUAGAUGAAGCCCCAAGUGCAUAUGCCUGGGUCAGUGCUUCAGACAUGGGAAUGGCAAAGACUUCCUUGGUCCAAAUACUAAUGUGGAUGUUGUGUGCACAAAGUAUAAACUAUCACUUCCAUUCCCCUGAGACUGCAAAAGGAUUAAGAAGAUGCCUACUGAAAUUAGACCUCCGAUUGAUGUUACACAUCACUCUCUCUCUCUCUCUCUCUCUCUCUACUGAGAUUUGACCGUCUCCCACAGGCAGCUCCUACUGACAUUGGCUGAUUAGCCUCCUAACUGGGAUGUUUUAGGAGGUUAUUGGUGUGACUUCAGCAGAGUACUUUGCAGCCACCAGGUCCCAGCUUUUCUGUGUGUAUGUCUGUUCCCUACCUCCAACUCCCAUUGUCCUCCUCUUUCCCCUAUCCCUACUCCCACCCCAGUUAGGUGAAUUCCCAAGCCUUGCAGGUCACAGCAUUACUUAGCUUCAAAAAAAUAUGUUGCUGCUCUACUUAGCCUUCUUGUUUGUAUCUUUUGUUUGUUUUGUUUUGUUUCAAGAUAGGGUCUCUCUGCAUAGACUUGGCAAUUCUGCUAUUCACGCUGUAGACCACGCUGGCUUCGAACUCUCAGAGAUCUGCCUGCCUCUGCCUCCGAAGUGCUGGGGUUAAAGGUGUGUGUACCACUCCCAACCUUGUUUCUGCAUCUUGAAGUUUCUAUUUUUCUCAAAUAAAAACUCUCUGAUUUUGUAUUACUAAAAUCAUGAAGAAUUUGCAUAUCGAGACUGUAAUUUCCUCCAAAUCUUUUUAAGUUCAUUUACUUAGUCUAUAUAACAUUUGCUCUUACAAUCUUCUUACUAAUCAAGUAACUGGCUGAUGAACAGCUGAAGGAGAGAAUGAGGAACUGUUUAUCCCUGUACCCAUAAGAGAGAUGUCCUUCUUUUGGUCACAGAGUCUCACUGCUGCAAGGCGACCCCCUCUCAGACUUGAAAUUCUUCUGCCUCUGUAUCCUGUGUCCUGGAUUGCGGGCAUGAGCUGCCACUUGUUUUUAAAGACUACAUAAAAAAAAAAAAAAGCAACAACAACAAAAAACAUUUGUUUUAUUUUUUUAAAUUACGUGUACCCUUGUAUGGUGGGUGCAGAUACCCAUGACAGCCAGAAGAGGUUGUUGGAUGCCUGGACCUGGAGUUAGAGCUAUGAGCUGCUUAAUGUGAGUGCUGAGAAUUCUGCAAGAGCAGCAAAUCCCUCUUUACUGCUGAGCCAUCUCUAUAGAGACUGAAUUUUAACAUUAAGGCUUAUGGUUUCCAUGAAAACCACACACGAAAGGCCUUAUUCUAUAUGACUACCUUGUUUCAAAUACUCUCACGUUAUUAGAAACUUAAAACUCCAGAGGUGCUGAAGUCUGACCAUAGGUUUGACUGUGGUGCCAUUUCUUUCCUGCGAUGCACUGCUCAUAGUAACCUGGUCUGGAGAGAUGCCAAAAAAGACUUCUUUGUUAAAGCCCCUCAGCUCAGUAAUCCUCCUUCUGAGAACUGGAGUGAGGAAAUGGAAAUAGGAGACACUGCUUUCGUGGAGAUGCCCCGUGAAAUGUUAUCCAGGUUUGCACAAAACUACACGCUAGAUAAAUGCGCAGAGUAGGAAGCCUGUAACUUUAGCCAGUGUUCUAAAUCAGGAAGCAGCUUUAUGAAUGGAUUAGGAAAUGGUAUGUGUCCUGGUGCAGGUUAGUGAUUAAAGCCAUCCAUGUCCCAAGGACAUGCUCUAAGCAAUGCUUUCCCGAGGCUGAUCCUGUUCCUUCAGCUGUUUGAAAGCAAAUGCAGUAAUCCCUGGAGAGCUGGAGCACCUUUAUACCUUUGUGACUAAGUCGUCUGCAGACAGUGAACACCCGACAAAUAGAGGUUUCUGUGAUACUUAUAAGGUUGUAUUUUAAAAUGCAACUACUUGUAGGGCCUAGGAGAUGGCUCAGUCAGUGAGGAAGAGCCUGCUGUGGGAGCAUGAGGACCUGAGUUUGGAGCCCUGAAGCUCAUGUGAAAAAGCCAGUCCUGGCUCACAUGCCUCUACCAGAGGCAAGUAGGUCCCUGGAGCUGGCAGACUGGCUACUCUAGCCAUCUGGUGAGUUCUGGGCUCAGCAAGAGACCCUGUCUCAAAAGGUAAGGUGGAAAGUGAUCAAAGAAGACGCAUGAGCACACACAUGCACAUGUAUCCCGUUCCACAUGUGUGCACUACUCAUGCAACUUUUGAAAAUGUACGGGUGCCGUUCUUUACAAUAAUGAAGAAAAAUCAACAUGUUUUUGCUGGUGGGAUGCUCCUUUAGAGCUGGCUGGCCAUGCCUGCUUUUUUCUUAGUGCUUCCCCCUGAAUACGUCUUUCCAUUAUGCCUGCUCACCUUUCAAUUCAUCUGUUCUCCUUCAGUCUUUUCACAACACAAUUGAAUUUUGAAGCUCUCUGAUAGAUACUCAAUCCGAACAUGCCUCUUCCUCCUUCAGGUUAUGUUAAACUCCAACUACAAUCUUUCAAAUUCUCAAGACACUCUGCCAGAGUCAUGUGAUACAAGCUACACCUCAGCUUAAUAAGAAUUUAGCUUGGGUUUGCUUUCAGACAACUAAACCACGCUGUGACAGAUCCUACCGUUAAGCACUUUUUAUUGGGAACUGAAAAAAAAAUGGAUUUAGAGUUGGAUGCAAGCUACAAUCUCAGCACUUCAGGAAGCUGCUGUAGAAUAAUCACAAAAUCAAUUCUGAGGCCAGCCUAGGCUACAGACCAACACCCUGUCUUAAUUUCUUUGAGUUUAAUUUAUUAAUAUGAAAAUACAAAUUAAGCAUGCAUAAUCUGAAUUUCUGAGUACUGAAAUGUUCCCAAAUCCAAAUGAUUUUAUGUCCUAUUAGUAUGUCACCAGUAGAAAACUCUAUGAGACUGUGUUACAUCAUGACCCUAAUUAUUUAAAACAGUAUAUAAAAUCACCUUCAGACUGUGUAUAGAAAGUAUAUAUGAAACUAAAGAAUAUCUUUAAAAUUAGUUCCCAUCCUAAAGAUACCUCAUUAUGCAUAUACAAAUAUUCCAAAAUUUAAAAAAAAGUCCAAACAAGUAUAAUCCCCAACAUUUUGGAUGAGGGACAGCUAACUGUGCAUCCCCAUUCAGGUGAUUAUCAGGUCAGUUGAAGGAGAGGUUACAGAGCUUCUUAAGAUAAACUCACCAAGCACUCUAGACAGUGGCUCUCAUUCCCUGAAAAUGUAGAACUCUAAGCACAAGGAAGACUGAAUUAAUAUUCAUACAGGACUUCACGUCUAAUUUUCAUAAUUUAAGUGCAUGUGAAAAGCACCCAUGCUGUACUAUAAUGCACCAUGCCAUGCUGACUUUCAUCCAGUCUUGUUUUAUUCACAUAGACAGAUCUCACUCAUUUAUUUAUUCAGGUCUUUUUUUUUUUUUCGAGGAACAGAGUUGAGCCAAAUCUUUGACUUAAUGCUGUAGUCUAUUUAGCCCCAUCAAUAAUGGACAAAAUGGUUCCCUCCAGUUCUUUGUUAUCACAACCAAUGCCAUCAGGAACAUCUUUGAUGAUAUUUAUGUCAAACCAGUGCAGUCAGAGCCUCAAGGGCCAUAUUCAGAUUACAUUAUGUUCACUGUUGUAAACAUCCCUCGAUUUGUGCACCAGGCUGACCUCGAACUCACAGCUAUCUGCCUGCCUCUGCUACCCAGAGUGCUGGGAUUACCAGUGUGCGUCACUAUGCCCAGUGGAUCAGUUUACUUUGAUGAUAGUAUUCUAGAAGGUACAUUUUCACUUUAACUUGGAAAUCAGACUCUGGCUAGAAAUAUCAACUAACCAGCAAAAGCAAGAUGACUUUACCACCUCUGACUUUCUCGUUUGACUUUGCUGUUUGCAUUCUAUUCCUCCUACUAGCAAGAGUGCCAAAGUGCCUUUCUGUACUUGGCCCAUCAGUUCCUAGCUUCCUUCCCUAUUCUGUUUUUCUCCUUAGCACUUACCAACCAUUGUAUAUUUACCCUGCCCAUUUGUUGCCCCGUUCCCGUCUUUGGAAUGUGAGUUCUACAUGGUGCCAACUUUUGUCUCUUUUGCUUACUACAGUAUUCCCACCAACUAAGGCUCAUACAUAGUGACUCGUGAACACAGUAGGCUCGCAAUCGUUGCUUGUCAAGUAAGUGAAUUAUGCCGACUGAUGUUCUACUUGCCUGGAACAACUCUGAGGUCCUACUAGCGGAAGGUGGGGAAGGGAGGAAAGGAGGAAGGCGAAACCAAGAAAGAAGGAGGAGGAAUUUUGCCCCCAGGAGGAAGCGAUAACAAGAGCAGAAGAAAAGACUACCGCAGAAGAAAUGUCAGUAGAGAAUAAAGUUACAAGACAGCAGAUAGAACUAGGUCUCUGAUGGUUUGAGAAAAAACAUGGUCGGAGCACAGGUGGUGAGAAGAGCACGGAAUGAAUUCUGCAGGCUCAAGCCUGGGAGAAAAACCUCCCCAACUUCUCAGCAAGGUUGACGGGCAAGUUUUCUGAAGGGUUUGAAUGCCGUGUACCAGCUGUCUCCUGUACCACCAAGCUACAUUCCUGGCUGUGAGCCUCCUUUUGAGAGCUGGACCUGUUGGACCCACCGAAUUUUAACCAGCAACCUUCCCUACUCCUUUGCUACCUGCAACUUUUGGGGACUGGACAGUUUCAGAAGUGACCUUUGUUACUGUGGGGAUGAAGAAAGGACGGGUGAAUGCUGAGUCAGGUAUAUCGAAAGCAGUCUCUAUCUGUCCUUUUGUUUUUCCCACAGGCAGGUCACUUGGUUGUAAUGCUGGUAGUGGGCUGUGAUGUGAGAAGAGAAGGGAGUGGAUCUUUUUUCUUUCUUAUCACAGCAAUCUCUGCUGUGGUAACGGGUAGAGGAAACUCACUGGGAGAUCCCAGUGAUGUCUAGCAAAGGUUAAGGAUGUGAAUUCGUGGCUGCCAGUGCACGCCUGCUUGUGCUCAGCAGCCCAGGUGCAGGCCAAGAACUUUGACCCCAGGGUGGAGUUCUUAUUUUUGGCCAUCUGAGCAAGUUCAAACAACGUGGCCAUAAGUCAAGGUGUCUUGGCUGAAGCGACAGAACCUAAGGUAGGAGAGGAGAUGAGCACAGUCAGGAGACGUAGUGGGGACCACACUGAGGGUCUUGUGAACUAAAGCUAGGGUGAUCAAGCUGUAAUCUGUCACCUCGGAUGGGGCCAGACCCUGAGAUUAUUCAGUAGGUCUCAGGGGCAGGAGCAGAAUUUGUUUUUAAAACGAUUCUUAGUUGAUGCUGCUAUAAGAGGGCUAUGGGCCAUUUUCUGGGAAACAUUGGGUUUGCAAUUGUAGUAAAUUUAAGAGGGACGAGAGAGAGAGAGAGAGAGAGAGAGAGAGAGAGAGAGAGAGAGAAAGAGAGAGAGAGAGAGAGAGAGAGAGGGAGAAAGAGGGAGACAAA
Meriones unguiculatus (Mongolian gerbil) is the source of this 6285-nucleotide long non-coding RNA. RefSeq lists it as uncharacterized. The record is from RefSeq and is a predicted model, not a curated record. The transcript is spliced from 2 exons. NCBI's taxonomy places the organism in Eukaryota, Metazoa, Chordata, Mammalia, Rodentia, Muridae.